AACGAACGCUGGCGGCAUGCCUAACACAUGCAAGUCGAACGAGACGUUCGGGUCUAGUGGCGCACGGGUGCGUAACGCGUGGGAACCUGCCUUUAGGGUCGGAAUAACUCAGAGAAAUUUGAGCUAAUACCGGAUGAUGUCUUCGGCCCAAAGAUUUAUCGCCUUUAGAUGGGCCCGCGUUGGAUUAGCUAGUUGGGGGGGUAAAGGCCUACCAAGGCGACGAUCCAUAGCUGGUCUGAGAGGAUGAUCAGCCACCCUGGGACUGAGACACGGCCCGGACUCCUACGGGAGGCAGCAGUGGGGAAUAUUGGACACUGGGCGAAAGCCUGAUCCAGCAAUGCCGCGUGAGUGAUGAAGGCCUUAGGGUUGUAAAGCUCUUUUACCCGAGAUGAUAAUGACCGUUUCGUGAGCAUAAGCCCCGGCCAACUCCCUG
This 433-nucleotide ribosomal RNA is filed under the name uncultured bacterium. Its description in RNAcentral is "partial 16S ribosomal RNA". It matches the Rfam family "Bacterial small subunit ribosomal RNA", at positions 29 to 507 of the family's 1533-position model. The record is from RNAcentral.